RNAcentral lists this ribosomal RNA (1468 nucleotides) under metagenome. RNAcentral's name for it is "bacterial LSU rRNA". It matches the Rfam family "Bacterial large subunit ribosomal RNA", at positions 1484 to 2925 of the family's 2925-position model. The record is from RNAcentral.
UUGUUGGCCGGGCGACGGUUGUCCCGGUUUAAGCGUGUAGGCUGGUUUUCCAGGCAAAUCCGGAAAAUCAAGGCUGAGGCGUGAUGACGAGGCACUACGGUGCUGAAGCAACAAAUGCCCUGCUUCCAGGAAAAGCCUCUAAGCAUCAGGUAACAUCAAAUCGUACCCCAAACCGACACAGGUGGUCAGGUAGAGAAUACCAAGGCGCUUGAGAGAACUCGGGUGAAGGAACUAGGCAAAAUGGUGCCGUAACUUCGGGAGAAGGCACGCUGAUAUGUAGGUGAAGUGACUUGCUCGUGGAGCUGAAAUCAGUCGAAGAUACCAGCUGGCUGCAACUGUUUAUUAAAAACACAGCACUGUGCAAACACGAAAGUGGACGUAUACGGUGUGACGCCUGCCCGGUGCCGGAAGGUUAAUUGAUGGGGUUAGCCGCAAGGCGAAGCUCUUGAUCGAAGCCCCGGUAAACGGCGGCCGUAACUAUAACGGUCCUAAGGUAGCGAAAUUCCUUGUCGGGUAAGUUCCGACCUGCACGAAUGGCGUAAUGAUGGCCAGGCUGUCUCCACCCGAGACUCAGUGAAAUUGAACUCGCUGUGAAGAUGCAGUGUACCCGCGGCAAGACGGAAAGACCCCGUGAACCUUUACUAUAGCUUGACACUGAACAUUGAGCCUUGAUGUGUAGGAUAGGUGGGAGGCUUUGAAGUGUGGACGCCAGUCUGCAUGGAGCCGACCUUGAAAUACCACCCUUUAAUGUUUGAUGUUCUAACGUUGACCCGUAAUCCGGGUUGCGGACAGUGUCUGGUGGGUAGUUUGACUGGGGCGGUCUCCUCCUAAAGAGUAACGGAGGAGCACGAAGGUUGGCUAAUCCUGGUCGGACAUCAGGAGGUUAGUGCAAUGGCAUAAGCCAGCUUGACUGCGAGCGUGACGGCGCGAGCAGGUGCGAAAGCAGGUCAUAGUGAUCCGGUGGUUCUGAACGGAAGGGCCAUCGCUCAACGGAUAAAAGGUACUCCGGGGAUAACAGGCUGAUACCGCCCAAGAGUUCAUAUCGACGGCGGUGUUUGGCACCUCGAUGUCGGCUCAUCACAUCCUGGGGCUGAAGUAGGUCCCAAGGGUAUGGCUGUUCGCCAUUUAAAGUGGUACGCGAGCUGGGUUUAGAACGUCGUGAGACAGUUCGGUCCCUAUCUGCCGUGGGCGCUGGAGAACUGAGGGGGGCUGCUCCUAGUACGAGAGGACCGGAGUGGACGCAUCACUGGUGUUCGGGUUGUCAUGCCAAUGGCACUGCCCGGUAGCUAAAUGCGGAAGAGAUAAGUGCUGAAAGCAUCUAAGCACGAAACUUGCCCCGAGAUGAGUUCUCCCUGACUCCUUGAGAGUCCUGAAGGAACGUUGAAGACGACGACGUUGAUAGGCCGGGUGUGUAAGCGCAGCGAUGCGUUGAGCUAACCGGUACUAAUGAACCGUGAGGCUUAACCCU